GUUUGAGAGCCGACCCUACCUACCUAACCGCCAUAAUGGAGGGCACGAAAUUGGGAUGACAUCCGGGAACUAAGAGAGAAGUGAGACUUGCGAUCCGUUCCGGUUCCAUUGUCAUCCAAACAACCACCGCGAGUAUUACCAUAACGUCCGAAACGGAGAAAUUUGAUAGACAACCAUUCAAUCGCCUCACUUCCCUCCAAAAAAGACAUAUAACCCGCCAUCUACACACCCUCAUCUCCCUUGGUCUGUCUAUCAGGGCUUCAGAUCAUGCACCUCAUCACCGAAGCGGUUCCCGCAAGACGCAGGACGCGGACCCGGACGAGAUCUUGGGCCCUUGAGCUAGAGGUACAAUCGCCAGGUGAGGUCAACAGUGUCCAGGCUCGUGACUUUCCCCUCAUCAGUCCCUGACGUGGGGUGGAACUGCUUGUCCGGAAGACUGACUGGGUGCGGGGCUGUGUCAUGUGCUUUCUUCGACAUCUCAACACAUCCUCUUACUAAACCCGUGCUUGGACUCGUGAUUGAUCACUUGGACAUCUUUGGACUUGGGGGUCCUCCUCCGAGUGAGGAGAAGGAGGGAGGUUCAUGCGGGCUGAAGAAAAUCGAGGCAGACGAGGUGGUGGAGAGAUGGAGAGAUAGAGUGGUUCGAAUUGGGUCUUGGCGUCAGAGCGGCUUCAGCCUCGGAAGAGUAGAGGUAAUUAAGGGCGGGGGCUAUGAGGCCGUUGGGACCGACGGUGUUGAGUGGUGAUGAACGUCUGGAGAAAUAGGGAACUGGGGCGGCCAGGUGGGUUGAUGGUAGAGGUGCCUACCUCUAGGUAGGUUGAUGAGGUAAGAGUCUGGAGACUUCAUACCUACCUAGGCAUUGAAGCAACCAGAGCCCUCGAGCACUUGCCGUCAAUGCAUCUCUAUACUAAUUGUAAGUUUGUUUGCAUCCUAUCAAA
Molecule: non-coding RNA, 938 nt
Organism: Neurospora crassa OR74A
Lineage: Eukaryota; Fungi; Ascomycota; Sordariomycetes; Sordariales; Sordariaceae
Source: RefSeq, a predicted model, not a curated record